GGGCCUCUAGCUCAAUUGGUCAGAGCUGCGGACUUUUAAUCCGUAGGUUGUGGGUUCGAGUCCCACGGGGCCUA
RNAcentral lists this transfer RNA (74 nucleotides) under Arcanobacterium haemolyticum DSM 20595. Its description in RNAcentral is "tRNA-Lys (TTT) (tRNA-Lys-TTT-1-1)". It matches the Rfam family "tRNA". From Rfam's summary of the family: Transfer RNA (tRNA) molecules are approximately 80 nucleotides in length. Lineage: Bacteria; Bacillati; Actinomycetota; Actinomycetes; Actinomycetales; Actinomycetaceae. The record is from Rfam by way of RNAcentral. RNAcentral also lists the same sequence under 1 other name.